CCUACGGGAGGCAGCAGUGGGGAAUAUUGGGCAAUGGGCGCAAGCCUGACCCAGCAACGCCGCGUGAAGGAAGAAGGCCUUCGGGUCGUAAACCUCUUUUCUCAGGGACGAAGAAUGUGACGGUACCUGAGCAAUAAGCUACGGCUAACUACGUGCCAGCAGCCGCGGUAAUCCGUAGGUGGCAAGCGUUAUCCGGAUUUAUUGGGUGUAAAGGGCGGGUAGGCGGGAGGGCAAGUCAAAGGUGAAAACCCAGGGCUCAACCCGGAGCCUGCCUUUGAAACUGUGUUUCUUGAGUGCGGGAGAGGCAAGCGGAAUUCCGGGUGUAGGAGUGAAAUGCGUAGAUAUACGGAGGAACACCAGUGGCGAAGGCGGAUAGCUGGACCGUAACUGACGCUGAGGAGCGAAAGCGUGGGGAGCAAACAGGAUUAGAUACCCGGGUAGUC
Molecule: ribosomal RNA, 443 nt
Filed under: uncultured bacterium
Lineage: Bacteria
Description: partial 16S ribosomal RNA
Rfam family: Bacterial small subunit ribosomal RNA
Source: RNAcentral